CUACAACAAAAGGGACUUUUAAUCCCACUUUUUACACUUGAAAAAAUAAAAAGUGGGAUAAAAACUUUUGAUCCCACUUUUACAUUUGGAGUCUUAAAUAUAAGUUUGGAACAAGGGCCUUGUUUGGAAAACGGAUAAAAAAAAGUGUUAAAAAUGCUAUUUUUAUGCAUUUGCCAAACACAACUUAGCAUUUUAAGUGGGACUUUUUAUCCCGGUUUUUACAUAAUAACCGGGAUAAAAGGUCCUCAUACAUUUGGGCCUUUUAAUUGUUGGGCCGACUACACAUAUAAAAGGAACAAUAACUUUUAGGGUUUUAUUUUUAUUAGGGGUUGUCUUAUUUUUCCUCCCAGCCGAUCUCUCUCUCUUCUAUCUCUGUCUAAGCGGCUGCCCACAUGGAGAUCAAAUAGGCUCUAUGGUGUCUCUAAGCUGCAAUCCUUCCAUGUUUUCUAUUUUUCGUGCAUUAUCACAGGCCAGCGGCCUUUUUCUGGCGAAGGACGAGUCAACGGAGUUCAGAUCCGACCUCCAUGCCUUUUGAAACUUCCAGGUGUGAAGGUUCGUGGUCGACGGGUCAUGGUUUUUCAUGGUGGACAAAGCUUUGUGGUCGCUAUUUUUGGUCAUUGAUAAUGACUCACUGUUGUUGAAGGUGGUUCGCGUGGUUGUCGAAGGUGGUUCGUGGCUUUUGUUGUACUGAUAUUUUGGGAUUUAUAAAUCUGUACUGAUUGUAUAUUUUACCAAAAAUAUUGUUAAGGAAAAAAAAUCUCUGUAGUGGUUCA
Cannabis sativa is the source of this 773-nucleotide long non-coding RNA. RefSeq lists it as uncharacterized. The record is from RefSeq and is a predicted model, not a curated record. The transcript is spliced from 2 exons. NCBI's taxonomy places the organism in Eukaryota, Viridiplantae, Streptophyta, Magnoliopsida, Rosales, Cannabaceae.